RNAcentral lists this long non-coding RNA (635 nucleotides) under Sus scrofa (pig). RNAcentral's name for it is "lncRNA (ENSSSCG00055007976.1)". The record is from RNAcentral. Lineage: Eukaryota; Metazoa; Chordata; Mammalia; Artiodactyla; Suidae.
CCAGGCCAGACAAAGGCCCUGUGUCGGCCCAGCUGCGCGGGGCGGUAUUUACGGCGGCCGGGAGUUUAAGAAAACAGGGGCCUUCCGUCCACGGGCGAGCGCGGCCGGCGGGGGAAGCCCGGAGCUAAUUAAAUCUGCGCGGCCGGGGCCACAGAGGCCGAUUGUGCAGCGAGAGGAUGUUAACGCGCAUUUUAAAUAUUUAGUGUAACCGAGCAGGUUCAGGACAGCUGCCCCAGGGACGCAGGCAGGACCUCAUCGUCGUUUGGGAAGGACACCGGAGCCAGCACCUUCCUUUGCCUGCAGCUUUUGCCCCCGUUUGCCCCGUCCUGGGCCCCCCACCCCGUCUUCCUUCCCUGUGUCAAGCAACCUCCGUCCUUUCUCACCGUCCUGUGCCAGGGUCCCCAGUCCCCUCGCCACGUCCCUGCCUCUCCCUGUCCCCCAUCCCUGCACUGCCCCCCCACCACGGGAGGGCUCCAGGCUGCCUCUGGGCUCGUGCGGCGGGGCACCAGCACCUCCCCGGUGCCCCGCCAACAGCCCUUCUCCCCGCCGAGGACUUUCUUUGGGUGUUUCCUCCAGAAGCCAGGCAGUCUCGGCCGUAGCCCAGGGCCAGGAGGCAGGAGCUGGGGCCCCGGGCU